This 808-nucleotide ribosomal RNA is filed under the name uncultured bacterium. Its description in RNAcentral is "bacterial SSU rRNA". It matches the Rfam family "Bacterial small subunit ribosomal RNA", at positions 636 to 1444 of the family's 1533-position model. The record is from RNAcentral.
UNUGACUUGAGUGCAGAAGGGGAGAGUGGAAUUCCAUGUGUAGCGGUGAAAUGCGUAGAUAUAUGGAGGANCACCAGUGGCGAAAGCGGCUCUCUGGUCUGUCACUGACGCUGAGGCUCGAAAGCGUGGGUAGCGAACAGGAUUAGAUACCCUGGUAGUCCACGCCGUAAACGAUGAGUGCUAGGUGUUAGGCCCUUUCCGGGGCUUAGUGCCGGAGCUAACGCAAUAAGCACUCCGCCUGGGGAGUACGACCGCAAGGUUGAAACUCAAAGGAAUUGACGGGGGCCCGCACAAGCGGUGGAGCAUGUGGUUUAAUUCGAAGCAACGCGAAGAACCUUACCAGGUCUUGACAUCCCGAUGCUAUUCUUAGAGAUAGGAAGUUACUUCGGUACAUCGGAGACAGGUGGUGCAUGGUUGUCGUCAGCUCGUGUCGUGAGAUGUUGGGUUAAGUCCCGCAACGAGCGCAACCCUUAUUGUUAGUUGCCAUCAUUAAGUUGGGCACUCUAGCGAGACUGCCGGUAAUAAACCGGAGGAAGGUGGGGAUGACGUCAAAUCAUCAUGCCCCUUAUGACCUGGGCUACACACGUGCUACAAUGGUCGGUACAACGAGUUGCGAGCCGGUGACGGCAAGCUAAUCUCUGAAAGCCGAUCUCAGUUCGGAUUGGAGGCUGCAACUCGCCUCCAUGAAGUCGGAAUCGCUAGUAAUCGCGGAUCAGCACGCCGCGGUGAAUACGUUCCCGGGCCUUGUACACACCGCCCGUCACACCACGAGAGUUUGUAACACCCGAAGUCGGUGAGGUAACCUUUU